This 2267-nucleotide long non-coding RNA is filed under the name Brassica napus (rape). RNAcentral describes it as "long non-coding RNA (BNAP_LNC010013)". The record is from RNAcentral. Lineage: Eukaryota; Viridiplantae; Streptophyta; Magnoliopsida; Brassicales; Brassicaceae.
CCUGGAACACGUUCCUCUCUCCAACAACAGCCCCGUUGACAAACUUGGUGUUGUCACGGGUGAUGUUGGCUUGUAGAAAGGCCAUCCGGUCAAUACCGGUACCGCUGAGAGUUGUCGGAGGUCCAUCAGCACUGAUUCCUCCACUAGGUAGUAGUCUCUGACCAUUUGCAGCGAUGUGGCUGCUUUCAUCUCGAGUUGUUAUCUCCUCCAUCACAAGCCCAUAUGUAAACUUGCUCUGACGGGUGAAGUUCUGCAAGAAAGAAUAUGUUUGAUUUACAAUAUUCUGUAGGACAGAACACGAGGACUACGCCACAGAGUAUUGGCAAGCUUACCUCAGUUAUGUUAGCUUUCACUCCAGCUCGAUCAACCCAAAUUGGUGGUACUUCGUCAACACCUGGUCCUCCAGUGAACACAGGGCUAAGUUUGCGGCUGUUGAAGCAGCUCGUUUUGAAUGUACGGUUACGAGGAUUGUAAACACCGUCCAGAUAUGGAUGUACAUAAUCGAGCUUAAACGAAAGAUCAUCCUGCAGGCACGCAGAAGCAGUGAUAGAUAUGGUGUCAAGAAAACAAGCUAAGGUAGAUAUUAGUCAAAUAUGUAAGCAUGCCAAAAUGUACCUGAGGAUUCAAGAAGUUGCUAGUGGUCACUGACCCCAUGAGAGACCUGUUAAGACCCUGGAUGUUUCGAUGUUCGAAAGUAACAGACCCACCUGGCUGGAAUGAAGCCUGAUGCAUAUAAGCAAGAACAAAGUAAAAUCAAUUACAAUUUUUUAUUAAAACCAAUCAAAUCUGUACUUAUUCCAGUAAGGAAGGAUUCAUACCAGAGUGGGAGUGCCUCCAGGUCCAGGAACUAUACUCCAUUCAGUACUGACUUCAGCUGACUUCUGUUCGAGCUCUUUCAGUUUGAUCUCAACGAUAAUGCCCCCUUCGUUUUUCUCAUCUUGGCGUGGAUUCACUUCAAUGUUAGAGAACAAGCCAUGAAGCCGACUUUGUGGAUGUUUGUAUUGACACUUGAUCAAAUUUUGUUGCCUCCUACUAUUCUAUGACCCACCAUCUCCUGCUGGUAAUUUUAUAAGAUAAAGCCAAGCAGACGUGAUAUAGUACCCAUAUAGAUUCUCAUUUGUCAACUACUAGAAAAGUAAAGCGCGGAUUAAACUUAUAAUCAAAUUAUAAAAUUUUCUUCUCAAAAAUUAGUAUUAAGAAGCUCAACGUAUUCCCUCACUUGCACUUCAAACCUUAAACAAUAAGGAUGAAGAAACUUCUCAGCAUAACUUAACAACACAAGUAAAACUCUUAACAUUAAACAAUUAUUUGAAAGGGAACCAAAAAAAAAAAAGAUUUAGAAUCCACAAAAGAAAGAAAAAAAAAAUGCACGAGGGCUUGAACAAAUCCUUAAAGAGAAAAAUGGCAAAGCCUAAAGUGAGUUACACGAACUUACUUCUCGUUACCUUAAUACCUCUCUCCAAACCGGAAAAACAGAGCACCAGUUCCAUUGUUGUGAUCUACAGCAUACUCAGCUCGUACCAGACCUAACUUCACUCCUACACCGUAUGAUGAACCUUGUCCCAUUCUCCUAUACACUGCUGUUGGGUUCCCUUUCACGUCCUUGGAGCUUCCCAAAUCGUUCCCAUGCUCAGCAAAUGCAUACACAUGCGUGUUCUUCACAGGUACUCUAAUCUCAGCACCAAGCUGCAAUCCAUGAAACAAACAAAAUCAGAGACUUAUGUUUUUGUCGAGUGUUUUAGUUUCGUGGUGUUUGCUGUUUUACCUCGAGGAUGUUUCUGGCCGCACCGAGCUCCCCCAUGUUGUAGCCACGGACAGAAUAAGGACCUCCAAGAACAAAGGCUUCGUAGCCUGGAAGAUCGCCAACACAACCACCAUAGUGUCCAUGAAGGACUAGAACCGGUGGCGGUGGCUUCCCAGCGCCUUCUUCCACCUGCUGAAGCUGAAUGAAUCUUGUCAACGUCAAUUGGUGACGGUUGAAGAAGGGGAAUUUGCUUCCAAUACCCAAUCCUUGAUCUACCUGGAACACGUUCCUCUCUCCAACAACAGCCCCGUUGACAAACUUGGUGUUGUCACGGGUGAUGUUGGCUUGUAGAAAGGCCAUCCGGUCAAUACCGGUACCGCUGAGAGUUGUCGGAGGUCCAUCAGCACUGAUUCCUCCACUAGGUAGUAGUCUCUGACCAUUUGCAGCGAUGUGGCUGCUUUCAUCUCGAGUUGUUAUCUCCUCCAUCACAAGCCCAUAUGUAAACUUGCUCUGACGGGUGAAG